RNAcentral lists this ribosomal RNA (429 nucleotides) under Chloroflexota bacterium. Its description in RNAcentral is "Chloroflexi bacterium partial 16S ribosomal RNA". It matches the Rfam family "Bacterial small subunit ribosomal RNA", at positions 355 to 776 of the family's 1533-position model. The record is from RNAcentral. Lineage: Bacteria; Bacillati; Chloroflexota.
UGGGGAAUAUUGCACAAUGGGCGCAAGCCUGAUGCAGCCAUGCCGCGUGUAUGAAGAAGGCCUUCGGGUUGUAAAGCACUUUCAGCGGGGAGGAAGGCGGUGAGGUUAAUAACCUCAUCGAUUGACGUUACCCGCAGAAGAAGCACCGGCUAACUCCGUGCCAGCAGCCGCGGUAAUACGGAGGGUGCAAGCGUUAAUCGGAAUUACUGGGCGUAAAGCGCACGCAGGCGGUCUGUCAAGUCGGAUGUGAAAUCCCCGGGCUCAACCUGGGAACUGCAUCUGAUACUGGCAAGCUUGAGUCUCGUAGAGGGGGGUAGAAUUCCAGGUGUAGCGGUGAAAUGCGUAGAGAUCUGGAGGAAUACCGGUGGCGAAGGCGGCCCCCUGGACGAAGACUGACGCUCAGGUGCGAAAGCGUGGGGAGCAAACAGG